This 465-nucleotide ribosomal RNA is filed under the name uncultured bacterium. RNAcentral describes it as "partial 16S ribosomal RNA". It matches the Rfam family "Bacterial small subunit ribosomal RNA", at positions 28 to 507 of the family's 1533-position model. The record is from RNAcentral.
GACGAACGCUGGCGGCGUGCUUAACACAUGCAAGUCGAACGGAAAGGCCCUGCUUGCAGGGUACUCGAGUGGCGAACGGGUGAGUAACACGUGGGUGAUCUGCCCUGCACUUCGGGAUAAGCCUGGGAAACUGGGUCUAAUACCGGAUAGGAGCCAUUUUUAGUGUGAUGGUUGGAAAGUUUUUUCGGUGUAGGAUGAUCUCGCGGCCUAUCAGCUUGUUGGUGGGGUAAUGGCCUACCAAGGCGGCGACGGGUAGCCGGCCUGAGAGGGUGGACGGCCACAUUGGGACUGAGAUACGGCCCAGACUCCUACGGGAGGCAGCAGUGGGGAAUAUUGCACAAUGGGCGCAAGCCUGAUGCAGCGACGCCGCGUGGGGGAUGACGGCCUUCGGGUUGUAACCUCCUUUCGCUAGGGACGAAGCUUUUUGUGACGGUACCUAGAUAAGAAGCACCGGCUAACUACGUG